UCCUACGGGGCGCAGCAGUGGGGAAUAUUGCACAAUGGGGGAAACCCUGAUGCAGCGACGCCGCGUGAGCGAAGAAGUAUUUCGGUAUGUAAAGCUCUAUCAGCAGGGAAGAAAAUGACGGUACCUGAGUAAGAAGCUCCGGCUAAAUACGUGCCAGCAGCCGCGGUAAUACGUAUGGAGCAAGCGUUAUCCGGAUUUACUGGGUGUAAAGGGAGCGCAGGCGGCCUAGCAAGUCUGAUGUGAAAUGCCGGGGCUCAACCCCGGAGCUGCAUUGGGAACUGUGAGGCUGGAGUGUCGGAGAGGCG
Molecule: ribosomal RNA, 305 nt
Filed under: uncultured bacterium
Lineage: Bacteria
Description: bacterial SSU rRNA
Rfam family: Bacterial small subunit ribosomal RNA
Source: RNAcentral